Molecule: long non-coding RNA, 1433 nt
Organism: Canis lupus familiaris (dog)
Lineage: Eukaryota; Metazoa; Chordata; Mammalia; Carnivora; Canidae
Exons: 4
Source: RefSeq, a predicted model, not a curated record
UCCGCAGCUGAGUGUCAGUUGGAACGGAGGGACUGGCCAAGCAGGAACCAUUGGUCAAGGCAAACAUGGUGAGACCCUGGCCUUGAGGGCAGAGUGGAACGCAGAGUAGAGAAGUUACAAGGAUGCGGGGGUGAGAAAGACGUCAGCCCGGCUCUGGCACCAGAUCCCUUCACUGAACUUAGCAAGAGUUAGACUGACCUCAGAAUGGUCUAUCCCACUUCAUCUGUGAAGGGAAUAAAUGCAACUGGGAGGCUACAGAAAUGAGGAAGAGCUCCAUGUGAACUUCUGAGAAGUGGAAACUUUCACCCCAAACCUGGGAGGGGCUGAAGGUUCUCACCAAGUUCAUGUGGCUGUUUCCUGGCCGUGAGAUGUGCUAAGAAGGCCUGGGACACGAAACAAGUCCUUAUGCAAAGCAUUUUAAGCCUCUCAGUUAUUUUUAAAGAAGUGGAAAAAUAUGACGAGCAGACUGAGGAUACAGAAGCUUGGGCUAUCAUUUGGGCUCAACAAAUCUCUGGAAGAGAAGCUCUUCCUGGGAAUGAAGGUGAUCAAAAUGGCUCUAGGAAAUGUGUGCCUAACUGGCAAGCUUGUAACCACCAUGGAGCUUGGACAAGAGAAAUAAAUGUGCUAUCUCUUCAUAGGAAACAGCCAGUGAAAAGAGGAAGCCAAGGCCAGUGCCUGCAUAAAAUAUUCAAAGAACCUGAAAUGUGAUGCUGCAGAGAGAAAGGAGGAGGGCAUGGAAGCCUCUAGGAAAAGGAUGAGUGAUAGAUGUGAAAUCGGGAUGAAAAAGCAAUAGAACAGACCAAAAUGAAAAGAGGGAAAGAGAGCUUUCAUUUUAUAAGAUAAUCCAAACUACUAUCAUUGACUGCAAAUCUGCACCACAUUUUGUUGUAGCCUUAAUACAUGACUUGCCAUUCCCAUAGGUAGUCCGACAGUUAGAUUUUAUGUAUAAACACAUGGUCGCUUGGGCAAAUUUGACCAUACCCUUCAAAUAGAUCCUCACUGCCUAAAGGUUUGUGUCCAAAUGUCUUAUGUCAUUCUAAGCCCCUUUCUGUUUCUUUCCUUACUGAUUUCUUACUUUGUUUCCCCUUCACACCUCACACUUGAGCCACAAAACUACAUCUGAGAUCCUAAGCUGUUUAAAUUGGUUUAUGACCCUUGGGAUUUUUUUGUACUGUAUCCUCUACCCAAAUCACCAAAAUUCUUGUCCCCUCCCCUGGCCCCUUAGGGAUCUGCUGUUUUGAAAACUCAACUGAAUCAUUAGGUCAUUUAUAAAGCUUUUCUUUACCUAUAACUGAGGGAGAACUGACCACCCAUUCCUUUGUGCUCUAAUGUACCCCACAGAUGCCUAGACCAUAGUAAUGAUUACACUUUAUAGCAUCUGCUUAACCAUGUGUUUCUCUCCACCAGGCUCCAGGUUAGGAACCCUCCCUACU